Long non-coding RNA from Gorilla gorilla gorilla (western lowland gorilla), 1564 nucleotides. RefSeq lists it as uncharacterized. Lineage: Eukaryota; Metazoa; Chordata; Mammalia; Primates; Hominidae. The record is from RefSeq and is a predicted model, not a curated record. The transcript has 3 exons.
AUGGCGAUAGGAGGACGCAUCUGUGGUGCCAUUCACCCCCUCCUGGAGGUACCUUCAUCAGUGGCUGUGGAGAACGGAGAGCAGGUAUUUGAGAUUUUGAAAAUGAAGCCUGGUUAAAGUCCAAGGUUUGAUCGUGCUACGCGUGCUAAAGAUAAGGGACUCUCUCUGUCGCGAUCUCGGCUCACUGCAACCUUCGACUCCUGGGUUCAAGUGAUUCUUCUGCCUCAGCCUCCUGAGUAGCUGGGAUUACGGACGUACAUCACCAUGCCUGGCUAAUUUUUGUAUGUUAGUAGAGAUGGGGUUUUAUCAUGUUGGCCAGGCUGAUCUCAAACUCCUGGCCUCAGGUGAUCCACCCACUUCGGCCUCCCAAAGUGCUGGGACUACAGGCGUGAGUCACUGUGACCAGCCUAUAGAGGUAAUUUGAGAAUAUUAUAAGCAGUAAGACAAUAUAGCUGAAAGAACACAAAACUAUGGAUGGAAGGACUUGUGCCUCAGUUCACAUUUUACCACUAAAUUCCUGAGGAAACUUGGUCAAGUCAGAUAACGCUUUUACUUUUCUCUUUUAAAUGCCUACUUUCUAGUUGUUUUUGGUUAAUCAUGUAAGAAAGCAGAUUUAUAAAGAAUAAAUAUGAACAUGAAAAGCUUUAUAAUCUUGCUCCAACACUAAUCUGGUUGCUGAUGAAGAAGAUGUAGUGGCAGGGCAAUUUAGUUUGGGAACAGCUGAACAUUGGCUUUUAUGUACCUGAACUCAGAAAGAAAGGGUCACACUCCUGAACAGGAGCUAAGAGGAGAAUGUAUAAUUUUUGACUCUUCAAUCUGCCAUCAUGAUCUCUAGUGUGAACUCCAUCCUAGGAGCCAUAUUAUGUAACCUACCAGCAAGACCUUAGAAAGAAAAGCCAAAUACAUUAUAACUUUAUAAAAUAAAUUAUAACUUUGUCUUUUUAGAAAAAUAUCUAGACAAUUUUUUUAGAUUGUUUCACAUGUGGUUUGGUUUUUAGGGGUAGCACAAUUCUUCAUAUUUUAAAUUUGUCUCUAGCUCCUAUUUCUUGAGAUUGGCCAAUCCAGAGAGGAGUAUGUCUACAUAUGUAUCCACCUUUGCUGAUUUAUUGACCCAUUGGGCUUUUGCUCUUCUACUAUUAGCUACAGAGGGGCUUAAAGGGUCUAUCUUAAACCUAGAGUGGUAAUAGCUACCAACAUUUCAAAAAGCCUGACUCUAAGGUGGUUUUCCUUAAAACGUGGUCCUAGGGAAUCACGCUAUGCCAAGGCAUUGGUGUAUUAACCUUUGUGAUGUAUUACAUUAGAUGGGCCUUGGACACAAGUCUGAGUAGAACAAAACCAAGGUUAAAUAGUACGGGGCCUUUUCUAAGUCAAAUAACUUCUAAGGAAUUUAUCAAAUAUAACUUCUAGAGUGUCAUUGGAGAAGUGAAAAAUAAUACUAGAAGUCAUUGUAUUCCCUGCUCGAGAUUUAGGACAGUUACAUUACUUUAAAAUAUAUCUGUGUUCAUGGCUGUCAGAAGAAAUCCCAACAAAAUCCACACAUUUGCCACAUCCAUUACCACUGUAA